UACGUAGGGACCGAGCGUUGUCCGGAAUCAUUGGGCGUAAAGAGCGUGUAGGCGGCUUGCUAAGUCUUGCGUGAAAUCUCGGGGCUCAACCCCGAGCGGUCGUGGGAAACAGGCAGGCUAGAGUGCGGGAGAGGAGAAUGGAAUUCCUGGUGUAGCGGUGAAAUGCGUAGAUAUCGAGAGGAACACCUGCGGCGAAGGCGGGUUGCUGGGCCGACACUGACGCUGAUGCGCGAAAGCCAGGGGAGCGAACGGG
Molecule: ribosomal RNA, 253 nt
Filed under: uncultured bacterium
Lineage: Bacteria
Description: partial 16S ribosomal RNA
Rfam family: Bacterial small subunit ribosomal RNA
Source: RNAcentral